CCCUUAGAUGUCCGGGGCUGCACGCGCGCUACACUGAAGGAAUCAGCGUGCUAAAACCAUUGUCGAAAGGCAUUGGUAAACCCAUUAAAAUCCUACGUGAUUGGGAUCGGGAAUUGCAAUUAUUUCCCUUGACCGAGGAAUUCCCAGUAAGUGUGGGUCAUAAGCUCGCGUUGAUUACGUCCCUGCCCUUUGUACACACCGCCCGUCGCUGCCCGGGACUGAGCCGUUUCGAGAAAAGCGGGGACUGCUGCUGUCGGGGCUUUCGGGCCUUGGCUUCGGUGGAAACCGCUUUAAUCGCAGUGGCUUGAACCGGGCAAAAGUCGUAACA
RNAcentral lists this ribosomal RNA (328 nucleotides) under uncultured eukaryote. RNAcentral describes it as "partial 18S ribosomal RNA". It matches the Rfam family "Eukaryotic small subunit ribosomal RNA", at positions 1470 to 1796 of the family's 1831-position model. The record is from RNAcentral.